This 370-nucleotide ribosomal RNA is filed under the name uncultured organism. Its description in RNAcentral is "bacterial SSU rRNA". It matches the Rfam family "Bacterial small subunit ribosomal RNA", at positions 526 to 896 of the family's 1533-position model. The record is from RNAcentral.
CGUAGGGUGCAAGCGUUAAUCGGAAUUACUGGGCGUAAAGCGUGCGCAGGCGGUUUUGUAAGUCUGUCGUGAAAUCCCCGGGCUCAACCUGGGAAUUGCGAUGGAGACUGCAUGGCUAGAAUCUGGCAGAGGGGGGUAGAAUUCCACGUGUAGCAGUGAAAUGCGUAGAGAUGUGGAGGAACACCGAUGGCGAAGGCAGCCCCCUGGGUCAAGAUUGACGCUCAUGCACGAAAGCGUGGGGAGCAAACAGGAUUAGAUACCCUGGUAGUCCACGCCCUAAACGAUGUCUACUAGUUGUCGGGUUUUAAUUAACUUGGUAACGCAGCUAACGCGUGAAGUAGUCCGCCUGGGGAGUACGGUCGCAAGAUUA